GAUGAACGCUGGCGGCGUGCCUAAUUCAUGCAAGUCGAGCGAACAGACGGGGAGCUUGCUCCUCUGACGUUAGCGGCGGACGGGUGAGUAACACGUGGAUAACCUACCUAUAAGACUGGGAUAACUUCGGGAAACCGGAGCUAAUACCGGAUAAUAUAUUGAACCGCAUGGUUCAAUAGUGAAAGACGGUUUUGCUGUCACUUAUAGAUGGAUCCGCGCCGCAUUAGCUAGUUGGUAAGGUAACGGCUUACCAAGGCAACGAUGCGUAGCCGACCUGAGAGGGUGAUCGGCCACACUGGAACUGAGACACGGUCCAGACUCCUACGGGAGGCAGCAGUAGGGAAUCUUCCGCAAUGGGCGAAAGCUUGACGGAGCAACGCCGCGUGAGUGAUGAAGGUCUUCGGAUCGUAAAACUCUGUUAUUAGGGAAGAACAAAUGUGUAAGUAACUAUGCACGUCUUGACGGUACCUAAUCAGAAAGCCACGGCUAACUACGUG
Molecule: ribosomal RNA, 497 nt
Filed under: uncultured bacterium
Lineage: Bacteria
Description: partial 16S ribosomal RNA
Rfam family: Bacterial small subunit ribosomal RNA
Source: RNAcentral